RNAcentral lists this ribosomal RNA (253 nucleotides) under uncultured bacterium. RNAcentral's name for it is "partial 16S ribosomal RNA". It matches the Rfam family "Bacterial small subunit ribosomal RNA", at positions 524 to 776 of the family's 1533-position model. The record is from RNAcentral.
UACGUAGGUGGCAAGCGUUGUCCGGAUUUACUGGGCGUAAAGAGCGCGCAGGCGGUCGUCCAAGUCGCGUGUGAAAGCCCCCGGCUCAACUGGGGAGGGUCACGCGAUACUGGUCGACUCGAAGGCAGGAGAGGGUAGUGGAAUUCCCGGUGUAGUGGUGAAAUGCGUAGAUAUCGGGAGGAACGCCAGUGGCGAAGGCGACUACCUGGCCUGUUCUUGACGCUGAGGCGCGAAAGCUAGGGGAGCAAACGGG